RNAcentral lists this ribosomal RNA (329 nucleotides) under uncultured eukaryote. RNAcentral describes it as "partial 18S ribosomal RNA". It matches the Rfam family "Eukaryotic small subunit ribosomal RNA", at positions 1470 to 1796 of the family's 1831-position model. The record is from RNAcentral.
CCCUUAGAUGUUCUGGGCCGCACGCGCGCUACACUGAUGCAUUCAACGAGUUUCUUCCUGGUCCGAGAGGAAUGGGUAACCUUUUGAAAGUGCAUCGUGAUAGGGAUAGACUAUUGCAAUUAUUGGUCUUCAACGAGGAAUUCCUAGUAGACGUAGUUCAUCAGACUGCAUCGAUUACGUCCCUGCCCUUUGUACACACCGCCCGUCGCUACUACCGAUUGAAUGGCUUAGUGAGGUCUUCGGACUGGACUUCGGGGAGCCGGCAACGGCACCCUGUCGCUGGGAAGUUGAUCAAACUUGGUCAUUUAGAGGAAGUAAAAGUCGUAACA